This 493-nucleotide ribosomal RNA is filed under the name uncultured bacterium. Its description in RNAcentral is "partial 16S ribosomal RNA". It matches the Rfam family "Bacterial small subunit ribosomal RNA", at positions 28 to 507 of the family's 1533-position model. The record is from RNAcentral.
GACGAACGCUGGCGGCGUGCUUAACACAUGCAAGUCGAACGGUGAAGGGACCGGUUUUUGCUGGUUCUGGAUGAGUGGCGAACGGGUGAGUAACACGUGAGUAACCUGCCCCCUUCUUCUGGAUAACCGCAUGAAAGUGUGGCUAAUACGGGAUAUUCUGCGACUGCUGCAUGGUGGGUGUGGGGAAGAUAUUGUUUCGGUGGGUGAUGGGGUCGCGGCCUAUCAGGUUGUUGGGGGAGUGAUCGACUACCAAGGCGGUGCCGGGUAGCCGGCCUGAGAGGGUGGACGGCCCCGCAGGUGCGGAGACACGGACACGCCUACUACAGGAAGCGGCAGUGAAGCGUAUGGCACAAUGGGCGGACGGCUGGUGCAGCGACGCCGCGGGAGGGAUGGACGCCUGCGCGUUGUAAUCCUCUAUCGCCAGUGAAGCAGUCCUGUCCCUUUUGUGGGUGUGUUGACGGUAGCUGGAUAAGAAGCCCCGGCUAACUACGUG